GCUUGAUAAAUCUGCUUUGCUGUUAUUGUAACAACAGUGUUAGCAGGAAAACCUUGGUGGAAUUUUCUUUUUGAAAAACAGAGCUCAUGGCAUUAAUCUAGCCUGACUUUGUACAUCUCUGAGUUAAGCAGUUGGCCUAUCUAUUUUCCUAGGCUUCCUCUGGAGAGGUGGAGGCAGCCACAAAGGUGAUUCAUCUCAGAUCCUUAUCAUGGGAUGGGAUGGGAUGUGUGACACUGCAGGAGCCUAGCCCAGCGAGGUUAGAGCACAUCACUCACUUGUAGAAGUGUUCUGUGAGGAAGAACAAGGAGCAUCAAAACGAGGAACAAGAACAAGGAAUAUUAAAAUGAGGUUCACUGGGUAUGACUCGUGGUGAUCAGCCCAGGUCCUGGCAAAGAUCCCCAAGACUCUGCUGUCCAGAAUUAUCCCAAAUAUGAAUCCUUGAGUGCUCUUAGCAUCUGCUCCAGACCAGCAUCUCUUAGCACAGCUCUUAAACCUUGUCAGCUGGAACAUCUCUGGAAGCAUCCAAGGUCAGGCUGGAUGGGCCUUUGAACAACCUGAUGAAGCAGAAGCUAUCCCUGGAUCUGUGUGUAUGACAGUUCUGAAGGUGGCUUAUGGAAGCGUGGCUUGGCAGUGUGAUAAACAACCAUCAGAGGACAGCUUCUCCCAGCCGGUGUCGGGCACACCUUGCCGUGCUCAGCUCUCUGGACUCCUCAGCUGAGCAUUUAGUGAGCAGCACAUCAAACUCUUUGCUCAGCUGCUUCAGGUCAUUUGCAGUAAUUCUGCUUCCUUCCUUGGGAUGCACUUCUUCCUCUUCAAGGUGUGAGCCACAGAGAGAGAGAGAGAGAGCAGCAAUCCCUGCUGGAAAUGGCUUGGGAAUACCGGGGAGGAAGCAGGAGCAUUGGUGAGAUUUUGAGGACGGAAGAGUGAAAGAUGAAGUGCUAAAUCUGAGACUGUGGCUGCUAAAAUGAGCUGCUGAACACCAGAGAGCAAGAAUUACUGCAUUUCCUGAGAGUGCUGCAGAACCUCUGAGCCUUUUAUUUCCAGUAGUAGAAACCCACAUGGGUCUCAGGAAGUGUUAAAAUGACAGGUUUUGAAAGAACAGUUUACCAUCAAGGCAAAAAAUAUAUUUUAUAUGUAUAAAAUAGGUAUCUUAUGCUCUGUGUUUAUCUGUUUUCCCCAUUCCAGGUCCCCUGAGCAGAUAAUGCUGCAGUCUCAGCUCCCUCUCCCUCCACCCUGGCUGCUGUGCUGAACAUCAUUUCAAAAGAGCACAGCUGGGUGCUGGACUGUAAUUUCUCAUGCAGCUCAGAUCAAGUCCAUUAGUUUAUUUGAAGGUUAGGACCAAGACCAUGGAGGUGCACGAGGAGCUAAUAGACAGACCGGUGUUCCUGCUGUGCUCACGGGGGCUUAAACCAGGGAGAAAAUAGUCAGGCACAUCCAUAUUAUUUUCACCUUUUGCUUCACCAUUUGCAGCAGUCUCAUUCAUAAAUGACAAAGAAACAGCUCCCUGCUGUGAGGUCCUCAUACCACAGAGAGCUGUAAUGAGUUUGUAACGAGAUGGAGAUAAGGAAGGUUUUUUUGUGAUUACUCAGACAAAUCUCUGAGUGCAAAUCAGAGGGGUAUGUCUUUCCAUCACUCUCCAUGGCUUAAACAUCUGAGGAUAGUUAAGGAAUUCUCAUGGCAUUUUGUAAGAAGAACUCAGUAAGACAAAAAUGUUCUAAAUGCAUCUUUAUGGAUUUCUUGCCUUCAUUGUAUGUCAGAAUCUUUUGUAAUUUGACAGCCACCAGCAGUGAUUAAUGGCUGGCAAUAUGGCUGGGGGCAAUGUGUGUCUCAAAGUCAGUAUCAGGGAAGCCUCUGUGAUCUGGGAAGUCUUUGGCUCUGGAACUGUCUCCUUGCAAAAUCAGAAACAAGUGUUUUGCCUGUGUGCUCCGUGAAGAGCUCCAAAUAAAUAGCUGGAAUAUUAAUGAAGAUGAGAGUGAAAAACAGGGAAAUAUUCACCUUGGAGUGUGGUGCUAAUCUGAGAUUUAAGGGUUGUUUCUGUUUCAG
This is a long non-coding RNA of Zonotrichia albicollis (white-throated sparrow), 2043 nucleotides long. RefSeq lists it as uncharacterized. The record is from RefSeq and is a predicted model, not a curated record. Lineage: Eukaryota; Metazoa; Chordata; Aves; Passeriformes; Passerellidae.